GGACGCGUGCCGGCCAUCCCCGAUUCCCCAUAGAGCAUAAAAAGGAUCCCCGCGACCCCUGGAACCCUAAUCCCUUGCCCUCGCUCUGUCACUCCCUCUCCCUCGUGUUACCGAGCUCGAGCCGCACCGGAGUCGCCGCGCUGCCGACGUCCGCACGCUCCGGCACCUCGCCGAGAUGCGUCUGGUCGUCCAGAAGCUCCGUGGGAUCCCCUUCUUCCUCUACGGCGCAAGAUCGAUACCAGGGAGCGCCCACGACGCCUCCCGUACUGUUCCCCUCGCCAGGAUCUGCCUUGGCCGCCGCCUCGUCGCGCUCGACUCCGGCGAGCCCCGUCCGCCCUGAGCUCGCCAUCCACCUCCUCGUGGUGAACCUCCUUCGAUCCCUCACGUUUUUCCCUCUGCCUCCCCUCACCGUGUACGUCGUGCGUGGUCGCCGCCCGAGCCUGCUGCUGCUGUCCGCUGUUGUCGUGCCCACAUCCGGCCGAGCCGUCCGCGCGCUCGCCUCCGCCCGGCCACGCCCCUGCUCUUGCUAGCUAGUGCUGCUGCUCACUGUUAUUUUGCUGCUUGCUUGCCUCCGCUAGCUACUGCCACUGCUAUUGCUACUUUGCAGCUGCUGCUCUGCUUAUUGCUUCUUGCCGUUGCUGCUUUGCUCGGCUGCUAACCCUCUACGCUACAGCUGCUUACUACGGCC
This 688-nucleotide long non-coding RNA is filed under the name Hordeum vulgare. Its description in RNAcentral is "long non-coding RNA (HVUL_LNC015177)". The record is from RNAcentral. Lineage: Eukaryota; Viridiplantae; Streptophyta; Magnoliopsida; Poales; Poaceae.